GUCGGUGGUCAUAGCAUUGGGGACACGCCCGGUCCCAUUCCGAACCCGGAAGCUAAGCCCAAUCACGCUGAUGGUACUGCACCCGGGAGGGUGUGGGAGAGUAAGUCACCGCCGACG
This 117-nucleotide ribosomal RNA is filed under the name Bacteroides thetaiotaomicron. Lineage: Bacteria; Pseudomonadati; Bacteroidota; Bacteroidia; Bacteroidales; Bacteroidaceae. The record is from RNAcentral. RNAcentral also lists the same sequence under 1 other name.